This 467-nucleotide ribosomal RNA is filed under the name uncultured bacterium. RNAcentral describes it as "partial 16S ribosomal RNA". It matches the Rfam family "Bacterial small subunit ribosomal RNA", at positions 28 to 507 of the family's 1533-position model. The record is from RNAcentral.
GAUGAACGCUGACAGUAUGCUUAACACAUGCAAGUCGACCUGCAUCAGGGUAAUUACUUUCGGUUAGGGUGGCGGACGGGUGAGUAACGCGUAAAGAACUUGCCAUACAGCUAGUGACAACAUUUGGAAACGAAUGAUAAUACCUAAUAUUAUGAUAAUACGGCAUGCUAAAAUUAUGAAAGCUAUAACCGCUGUGAGAGAGCUUUGCGUCCCAUUAGCUAGUUGGAGAGGUAACGGCUCACCAAGGCGAUGAUGGGUAGCCGGCCUGGAAGGGAGAUCGGGUACAAGGUCACUGGGGCGCCGGCCGUACUGAUUCUUGGAGCAUCAGUGGAGACUUUUGGACAACAUACCGAGAGGCUGAUCCAGCAAUUCUGUUUGCACGAUGAAUUUGUUCGGAAUGAAAAGUACUAUCAGUUGGGAACGAUCUUAUGACGGUACCAACAGAAGAAGUGACGGCUAACUACGUG